RNAcentral lists this long non-coding RNA (425 nucleotides) under Ananas comosus (pineapple). RNAcentral's name for it is "long non-coding RNA (ACOM_LNC044666)". The record is from RNAcentral. Lineage: Eukaryota; Viridiplantae; Streptophyta; Magnoliopsida; Poales; Bromeliaceae.
UUGACUCCUUUUACUAUCAAGUUUUUAAUAUUUAAAUCAAUUUCUUUGAUCAUUUGAUUAAAUAUUAUAAAUCAGCGAAGACCACUCAACUCUAGGAGAACCACUCAACCCUAGGAGACUAAUAUAAUUUUAACCUUACAAUUUUUCAUCCAAAUAAAAUUUGAUAGCAAAAAGGGUCAAAUACUCUUGAUACUAUUAAGUUCUCUAUCAUUAGAUCUACCUUUUCAUCAUUUCCACCCGUUAUGUUACUAUUCAACCAACCAUCAACUCAACCCUACAGGAUUACUAUCAUUUUAACCGCAUAUUCUUUUAUUUAACGGUUGAAAAUUCGAUAGUAUCAUGCGCUUAAUACUUAAUUUAUAUUGAUAGUAUAGUAACAUAAUUCUAUAUAUAUAAUUGUAGCAGCUGUAAUUUUAACUGUAUAU